This 472-nucleotide long non-coding RNA is filed under the name Nicotiana benthamiana. RNAcentral describes it as "long non-coding RNA (NBEN_LNC041133)". Lineage: Eukaryota; Viridiplantae; Streptophyta; Magnoliopsida; Solanales; Solanaceae. The record is from RNAcentral.
UGUUAUAAAGCUUCAUGAUUAACUUAAGAUAGAAUUUUGAUUAUGAAAUUCUAGUACCAUAAUAUAGCAUGCUUUCAUGAAUGAUAUGUUGAUGGUGAACUUUAGUAUUUAGAUACCAUGUUAUCUCUAGAUGAAUUGAAAUAUUGACAUUUGCAUAAUUUUGGUUGUUGAACGACAUGAUUCCUUGUUUAAGCCUUUUGUUGAAAGCCCAUUAAGUUUAUUAUCGUUUUCAAUACAUAGUCGCCACUAAUACAUUUAGCGGCGACUUCUAUGGGUUUAGUGGCAGCGUUCGUCGCAAUGUUGCCACAAAUAACCUUCAGUGACGGAUUAAGUUUAUUAUCGUUUUCAAUACAUAGUCGCCACUAAUACAUUUAGCGGCGACUUCUAUGGGUUUAGUGGCAGCGUUCGUCGCAAUAUUGCCAGAAAUAACCUUCAGUGACGGCAACUCCAAUUUCAAUACACAGUCGCCACU